This 845-nucleotide ribosomal RNA is filed under the name Phlebia cf. radiata RG-2014. RNAcentral's name for it is "eukaryotic LSU rRNA". The stretch from base 550 to 845 matches the Rfam family "Eukaryotic large subunit ribosomal RNA", at positions 1 to 292 of the family's 3401-position model. The record is from RNAcentral. Lineage: Eukaryota; Fungi; Basidiomycota; Agaricomycetes; Polyporales; Meruliaceae.
CGAGUUUUGAAACGGGUUGUAGCUGUCCUUCGUAAGGAGGUACGUGCACGCCUUGCUCAUCCACUCUCAAACCCCUGUGCACUUUUUGUAGGCUUGGUGGGAUAGGCUGACUUCGGUCGGCUUUGAAUGCCUCGCCUAUGUAUUAAAACAAACGCUUCAGUUCAGAAUGUAACCUUGCAUAAUAAGCAAAUAAAUACAACUUUCAGCAACGGAUCUCUUGGCUCUCGCAUCGAUGAAGAACGCAGCGAAAUGCGAUAAGUAAUGUGAAUUGCAGAAUUCAGUGAAUCAUCGAAUCUUUGAACGCACCUUGCGCUCCUUGGUAUUCCGAGGAGCAUGCCUGUUUGAGUGUCAUGGUAUCAUCAACCUUCAACACUUUUGUGUCUGUAGGCUUGGACUUGGAGGUCGUGUCGGCGUUCGCGUCGGCUCCUCUGAAAUGCAUUAGCGUGAAUCUUACGAAUCGCCCUCGGUGUGAUAAUUUCUACGCCGUAGACGUGCAGUAUAUAGUGUUCGUGCUUACAACCGUCUGCAAAGACAACAUCAUUGACAAUCUGACCUCAAAUCAGGUAGGACUACCCGCUGAACUUAAGCAUAUCAAUAAGCGGAGGAAAAGAAACUAACAAGGAUUCCCCUAGUAACUGCGAGUGAAGCGGGAAAAGCUCAAAUUUAAAAUCUGGCGGUCUUCGAUCGUCCGAGUUGUAGUCUGGAGAAGCGUCUUCCGCGCUGGACCGUGUACAAGUCUCUUGGAACAGAGCGUCGUAGAGGGUGAGAAUCCCGUCUUUGACACGGACUAUCGUGCUUUGUGAUGCGCUCUCAAAGAGUCGAGUUGUUUGGGAAUGCACUCAAAA